AUGAAAAAAUCGCCCCUAAUUGCUGCUGGCAGGGAAAAGCUGGGCCCGGUCCCGAUGUCCUUGUCCCCGGGGGGGGGGACGGGGACAUCACCGGACUGCCACGGCCCUGGACUGGUGCCCAGUUUGGGAGCUGCACCCCCCCCAAAAUGCGCACAGCCCCCAGCGCUGCACUGUGCCGUCCCCACGGGACCCGUAGGAUCCCCACGGGGAUGUCCCGGGGGGGGCAAACCCGGCUCUGAUCCCCCCCCCCGGCUCAAAGACACCCAGCACAGCCCAGUCCGGCCCAGUUUAACCCAACCACGAACUGGGGGAGGACAAAACCUCAGGGUGGGGGGGGGGAGAGGAUGGCGGAGGGCACCCCCCCGGUGUCACCUCCCUGCCCGCUCCCCCCGGCACCCCGGGGGGGGGGGCUCCGUACCCCAAAUCCGCAUCCCCGCCCCGUUCCCCAGCCCCUGUCCCAUUGCGGGGGGGGGUCCCCGUUCGCCCCCCCCGGGGUCCCCCCCGUUUCGCACCGCUCCGUGCUGCAGCCAUGGCGACCCGGGAUGCGGUUGCUUUGGCAACCGAGGCGUUUGGGUACCGGCCCCCGCGCCCCGGGGGGUUUUUUUUUUUGGGGGGGGGUCUCGGAAGGGUGGGGGGGGUCGGGGCCGAGCCGGCAGCACCCUUGGGUGCCCCCGGGGGGGACACGCGGGGGGGCCCCGAGGUGCCGCGUCCCCAUCCGGAGAGGUUCGGGAGCACCGGAGGGGACUGGGGGGGUCCCGGGGGGGGGCGCUUGGAGCAACCGGGGGGGGGUCCCGACCCCCCCCCCCGCCACCUGCAGCAUCCCGGGGCUGUGGGGGGGGGGCGCAGAGCACCGGAACCCACCCGGGGUCCCGCUCGCAUCCUCUGGAGGGUUGGGGGGGUCCCGGGGGGGUCCCGGUUGCUCCGGGGGGGGCUCCCCGGCCGGUGGGGGGGGGCACCCUGGGGGUUGAAGCCGCCCCCCCCCCGCAGCCCGUCCCGGUGGGGAUGGGGGCUCAGCAUCACCGGGCAGGGUCCGGCGGUACGGUGAUGGGCACAGGGGGGGCAGGACUCCGGUGUAACCCCCCCCCCCCCAAAAAAAAAAAAACC
This 1104-nucleotide long non-coding RNA is filed under the name Cairina moschata (Muscovy duck). RNAcentral's name for it is "domestica (muscovy Duck (domestic type)) lncRNA (ENSCMMG00000009268.1)". The record is from RNAcentral. Lineage: Eukaryota; Metazoa; Chordata; Aves; Anseriformes; Anatidae.